This 584-nucleotide ribosomal RNA is filed under the name uncultured bacterium. RNAcentral's name for it is "bacterial SSU rRNA". It matches the Rfam family "Bacterial small subunit ribosomal RNA", at positions 102 to 682 of the family's 1533-position model. The record is from RNAcentral.
ACGGGUGAGGAAUACAUCGGAAUUUGCCCUGUCGUGGGGGAUAACGUAGGGAAACUUACGCUAAUACCGCAUACGACCUAACGGUGAAAGCGGGGGAUCGCAAGACCUCGCGCGGUUGGAUAAGCCGAUGUCAGAUUAGCUAGUUGGCGGGGUAAAGGCCCACCAAGGCGACGAUCUGUAGCUGGUCUGAGAGGAUGAUCAGCCACACUGGGACUGAGACACGGCCCAGACUCCUACGGGAGGCAGCAGUGGGGAAUAUUGGACAAUGGGGGCAACCCUGAUCCAGCAAUGCCGCGUGUGUGAAGAAGGCCUUCGGGUUGUAAAGCACUUUUAUCAGGAGCGAAACACGUAAGGUUAAUAACCUUGCGGACUGACGGUACCUGAGGAAUAAGCACCGGCUAACUUCGUGCCAGCAGCCGCGGUAAUACGAAGGGUGCAAGCGUUACUCGGAAUUACUGGGCGUAAAGCGUGCGUAGGUGGUUUCUUAAGUCUGCUGUGAAAGCCCCGGGCUCAACCUGGGAAUUGCAGUGGAUACUGGGGAGCUAGAGUGCGGUAGAGGGUAGUGGAAUUCCCGGUGUAGCGGU